Molecule: small nuclear RNA, 309 nt
Filed under: Jaculus jaculus (lesser Egyptian jerboa)
Lineage: Eukaryota; Metazoa; Chordata; Mammalia; Rodentia; Dipodidae
Description: 7SK RNA (ENSJJAG00000002052.1)
Rfam family: 7SK RNA
About the family: 7SK was discovered as an abundant small nuclear RNA in the mid-70s but a possible function has only recently been suggested. Two independent studies have found that 7SK RNA binds the CDK9/cyclin T complex (known as elongation factor P-TEFb).
Source: Rfam by way of RNAcentral
GGAUAUGAGGGUGAUCUGCUGUGACAUCUGUCACCCCAUUGAUGGCCAGGGUUCAUUCAGCUGAUCUGGCUGGCUGGGCAGGUGUCCCCUUCCUCCCUCAGUGCUCCAGCUGCAUCCUCCCGAAGAGGACGGCCUUCCCCAAAUACAGGAGGAGCGAUCUUUGGUCAAGGGUAGGCAAGUAGCGCACUCUCCUGCUGGAGCCUCCAAACAAGCUCUCAAAUAAUCAGGGGAGGAGGAAGAGGAGGAAGAAAACAUUCUUCUCUUGCCACAUGCCGCUCUAAAACCACCAGUGGAGGUGAAUGCGAUGCG